This is a transfer RNA of Clostridium sp. CAG:7, 72 nucleotides long. It matches the Rfam family "tRNA". Rfam says of the family: Transfer RNA (tRNA) molecules are approximately 80 nucleotides in length. Their secondary structure includes four short double-helical elements and three loops (D, anti-codon, and T loops). Further hydrogen bonds mediate the characteristic L-shaped molecular structure. tRNAs have two regions of fundamental functional importance: the anti-codon, which is responsible for specific mRNA codon recognition, and the 3' end, to which the tRNAs corresponding amino acid is attached (by aminoacyl-tRNA synthetases). tRNAs cope with the degeneracy of the genetic code in two manners: having more than one tRNA (with a specific anti-codon) for a particular amino acid; and 'wobble' base-pairing, i.e. permitting non-standard base-pairing at the 3rd anti-codon position. The record is from Rfam. NCBI's taxonomy places the organism in Bacteria, Bacillati, Bacillota, Clostridia, Eubacteriales, Clostridiaceae.
UGGAACGUAGCUCAGUGGUAGAGCAGCUGGCUUUUAAACAGCGUGUUGAGGGUUCAAUUCCUUCCGUUCCGA